GAAGGGGCUAGCGUUGCUCGGAAUUACUGGGCGUAAAGGGCGCGUAGGCGGACAGUUUAGUCAGAGGUGAAAGCCCAGGGCUCAACCUUGGAAUAGCCUUUGAUACUGGCUGUCUUGAGUUCGGGAGAGGUGAGUGGAAUGCCGAGUGUAGAGGUGAAAUUCGUAGAUAUUCGGCGGAACACCAGUGGCGAAGGCGACUCACUGGCCCGAUACUGACGCUGAGGCGCGAAAGCGUGGGGAGCAAACAGGAUUAGAUACCCUGGUAGUCCACGCCGUAAACGAUGAGUGCUAGUUGUCGGCAUGCAUGCAUGUCGGUGACGCAGCUAACGCAUUAAGCACUCCGCCUGGGGAGUACGGUCGCAAGAUUA
This 368-nucleotide ribosomal RNA is filed under the name uncultured bacterium. RNAcentral's name for it is "bacterial SSU rRNA". It matches the Rfam family "Bacterial small subunit ribosomal RNA", at positions 528 to 896 of the family's 1533-position model. The record is from RNAcentral.